GGACAUUUGGCCGAGCGGUUAAGGCGCCAGCUUCAGGAUAUUCCACAUAUCUCAAAUAAAAUUGAGACUUAUGGGGUUGACCUUGCUGGUCCGAAAGGGCGAGGGUUCGAAUCCCUCAGUGUUCA
This is a non-coding RNA of Calycina marina, 125 nucleotides long. The record is from the annotation of a GenBank genome assembly. Lineage: Eukaryota; Fungi; Ascomycota; Leotiomycetes; Helotiales; Pezizellaceae.